This 106-nucleotide unclassified non-coding RNA is filed under the name soil metagenome. RNAcentral's name for it is "partial internal transcribed spacer 1". The record is from RNAcentral.
UGUGAACGCCCUCACGGGCUUAUACUAUUCCAAACCUCUGUGAACCGUGCCCUUCGGGCUAUUUAUACAACAUGGUGUAAUGAACGUCAUAUAUCAUAACAAAACA